GUGAAUCAUCGAAUUUUUGAACGCAGAUUGCACUUUCUGGUAUUCCGGAAAGUAUGCCUGUUUGAGUGUCAUUUAACUAUACAUCGGUGUUGUUGCUGCUUUUCGUGGUGACGCGUGGGAAUUGAGUGGUCUUACUUUUGGGUACGUGACUUAAAAUUUUGCAUGAUUUUCUAACGUAUUUAAUUUUCUUACGUACGUUUGAGUUAUCGUAUACUUUUUUAGGUUCGUUUAUCCUCAAUCUUCGCGCUUAUAAUUUUUCAUUAAA
Molecule: unclassified non-coding RNA, 265 nt
Filed under: Glomus sp.
Lineage: Eukaryota; Fungi; Glomeromycota; Glomeromycetes; Glomerales; Glomeraceae
Description: partial contains 5.8S ribosomal RNA and internal transcribed spacer 2
Rfam family: 5.8S ribosomal RNA (bases 1-71)
Source: RNAcentral